This 89-nucleotide transfer RNA is filed under the name Methylophaga muralis. It matches the Rfam family "tRNA". Rfam says of the family: Transfer RNA (tRNA) molecules are approximately 80 nucleotides in length. Their secondary structure includes four short double-helical elements and three loops (D, anti-codon, and T loops). Lineage: Bacteria; Pseudomonadati; Pseudomonadota; Gammaproteobacteria; Thiotrichales; Piscirickettsiaceae. RNAcentral also lists the same sequence under 1 other name. The record is from RNAcentral.
GGAGAGCUGGCCGAGCGGCUGAAGGCGCGCCCCUGCUAAGGGCGUAUAGGUUAACCCUAUCGAGGGUUCGAAUCCCUCGCUCUCCGCCA